UACGUAGGGACCGAGCGUUGUCCGGAUUCAUUGGGCGUAAAGAGCUCGUAGGCGGCCACUCAAGUCGAAUGUGAAACCUCGAGGCUUAACCUCGAGCCUGCAUUCGAUACUGGGCGGCUAGAGUCUGGUAGGGGGAUCUGGAAUUACUGGUGUAGCGGUGGAAUGCGCAGAUAUCAGGAGGAACACCGGUGGCGAAGGCGGGAUCCUGGGCCAGUACUGACGCUGAGGAGCGAAAGCGUGGGGAGCAAACAGG
This 253-nucleotide ribosomal RNA is filed under the name uncultured bacterium. RNAcentral's name for it is "partial 16S ribosomal RNA". It matches the Rfam family "Bacterial small subunit ribosomal RNA", at positions 524 to 776 of the family's 1533-position model. The record is from RNAcentral.